Molecule: ribosomal RNA, 445 nt
Filed under: uncultured bacterium
Lineage: Bacteria
Description: bacterial SSU rRNA
Rfam family: Bacterial small subunit ribosomal RNA
Source: RNAcentral
GUGGGGAAUAUUGGUCAAUGGUCGCAAGACUGAACCAGCCAUGCCGCGUGCAGGAAGACGGUCCUAUGGAUUGUAAACUGCUUUUAUACAGGAAGAAACCCUCCCACGUGUGGGAGCUUGACGGUACUGUAGGAAUAAGGAUCGGCUAACUCCGUGCCAGCAGCCGCGGUAAUACGGAGGAUCCAAGCGUUAUCCGGAAUCAUUGGGUUUAAAGGGUCCGUAGGCGGUCUUAUAAGUCAGUGGUGAAAGCCCAUCGCUCAACGAUGGAACUGCCAUUGAUACUGUAGGACUUGAAUGCUUAGGAAGUAACUAGAAUAUGUAGUGUAGCGGUGAAAUGCUUAGAUAUUACAUGGAAUACCAAUUGCGAAGGCAGGUUACUACUAAGUGAUUGACGCUGAUGGACGAAAGCGUGGGGAGCGAACAGGAUUAGAUACCCUUGUAGUCC